Molecule: ribosomal RNA, 473 nt
Filed under: uncultured bacterium
Lineage: Bacteria
Description: bacterial SSU rRNA
Rfam family: Bacterial small subunit ribosomal RNA
Source: RNAcentral
GACGAACGCUGGCGGCGCGCCUAACACAUGCAAGUCGAACGGAGCUUAGAGAGCUUGCUUUUUAAGCUUAGUGGCGAACGGGUGAGUAACGCGUGAGUAACCUGCCCUAGAGUGGGGGACAACAGUUGGAAACGACUGCUAAUACCGCAUAAGCCCCCGGUACCGCAUGGUACUGAGGGAAAAGGAUUUAUUCGCUUUAGGAUGGACUCGCGUCCAAUUAGCUAGUUGGUGAGGUAACGGCCCACCAAGGCGACGAUUGGUAGCCGGACUGAGAGGUUGAACGGCCACAUUGGGACUGAGACACGGCCCAGACUCCUACGGGAGGCAGCAGUGGGGGAUAUUGCACAAUGGGGGAAACCCUGAUGCAGCGACGCCGCGUGGAGGAAGAAGGUUUUCGGAUUGUAAACUCCUGUCGUUAGGGACGAUAAUGACGGUACCUAACAAGAAAGCACCGGCUAACUACGUGCCAGCAG